AUGAAUCAGGGAGCAGUUGGUCAUGGACCGUUUCAAUGGACAUGGAAUUCAUCAGUUUCAUUCCUCUAUGGGGGUCUUGCACCCAUUUUUAUUGUUAUUGGAAUAGCAUUGCUGACAGUGGCUUGUUCGCGGUGUCUUAGGCCUGAAAUGGAUCAUUUGCCGAAUACAACUAGUGAUUCGAACAAGUCAAGAGGUGAAACAAGUAAUGAAAUUGAUCGUGAACCUAACGUUCUGGUUAUUGUGGCAGGCGAAAACCACCCUACUCAUUUGGCAUUGCCUAGUCGUCACUCAUAA
Vicia faba (fava bean) is the source of this 294-nucleotide non-coding RNA. NCBI's taxonomy places the organism in Eukaryota, Viridiplantae, Streptophyta, Magnoliopsida, Fabales, Fabaceae. The record is from the annotation of a GenBank genome assembly.